UGAGCAAUCUGCCCUUCACAUCGGAAUAACCAUUGGAAACGAUGGCUAAUACCGAAUAUGACUUCGGAUCGCAUGAUCUGAAGUGGAAAGCUCCGGCGGUGAAGGAUGAGCUCACGGCCUAUCAGCUAGUUGGUGUGGGUAAUGGCCCACCAAGGCGACGACGGGUAGCCGGCCUGAGAGGGUGACCCGGCCACACUGGGACUGAGACACGGCCCAGAUCCGUACGGG
RNAcentral lists this ribosomal RNA (228 nucleotides) under uncultured bacterium. Its description in RNAcentral is "partial 16S ribosomal RNA". It matches the Rfam family "Bacterial small subunit ribosomal RNA", at positions 118 to 345 of the family's 1533-position model. The record is from RNAcentral.